RNAcentral lists this ribosomal RNA (511 nucleotides) under Arthroderma gertleri. RNAcentral describes it as "LSU rRNA". It matches the Rfam family "Eukaryotic large subunit ribosomal RNA", at positions 85 to 599 of the family's 3401-position model. Lineage: Eukaryota; Fungi; Ascomycota; Eurotiomycetes; Onygenales; Arthrodermataceae. The record is from RNAcentral.
AACGGCGAGUGAAGCGGCAAAAGCUCAAAUUUGAAAUCUGGCUCCUUCGGGGUCCGAGUUGUAAUUUGUAGAGGAUGCUUCGGGUGUGGUCACGACCUAAGUUCCUUGGAACAGGACGUCAUAGAGGGUGAGAAUCCCGUCUUGGGCCGUUGGUCCACGCCCGUGUGAAGCUCCUUCGACGAGUCGAGUUGUUUGGGAAUGCAGCUCUAAGCGGGUGGUAAAUUUCAUCUAAAGCUAAAUAUUGGCCGGAGACCGAUAGCGCACAAGUAGAGUGAUCGAAAGGUUAAAAGCACCUUGAAAAGGGAGUUAAACAGCACGUGAAAUUGUUGAAAGGGAAGCGCUUGCGGCCAGACUCGAGCGCAGGGUUCAGCGGGUGCGUGUCACCCGUGCACUCCCUGUCGCUCGGGCCAGCAUCAGUUCUGACGGCCGGUCAAAGGCCCCCGGAAUGUGUCGUCUCUCGGGACGUCUUAUAGCCGGGGGUGCAAUGCGGCCCGUUGGGACUGAGGAACGC